Molecule: unclassified non-coding RNA, 338 nt
Filed under: uncultured fungus
Lineage: Eukaryota; Fungi
Description: partial contains 5.8S ribosomal RNA and internal transcribed spacer 2
Rfam family: 5.8S ribosomal RNA (bases 1-133)
Source: RNAcentral
UGGUUCUGGCAUCGAUGAAGAACGCAGCGAAAUGCGAUAAGUAGUGUGAAUUGCAGACUUUAGUGAAUCAUCGAAUUUUUGAACGCACAUUGCGCCCCUUGGUAUUCCAUUGGGCAUGCCUGUUCGAGCGUCAUUUACACCGUCAAGCUCUGCUUGGUGUUGGGCGUUUGUCUCCACCUCCCUAUCGGGGUGGGGACUCGCCUUAAAGCGAUUGGCAGCGGCCCUUUUUGCCAGCUUCUUGCGCAGCACUUUUGCGCUUAGCGAGCCAGCAGCGGGCCUGCAAACCAGCAAGCAUCAUCUCUUUGUUUGACCUCGAAUCAGGUAGGGAUACCCGCUGA